RNAcentral lists this ribosomal RNA (198 nucleotides) under uncultured bacterium. RNAcentral describes it as "partial 16S ribosomal RNA". It matches the Rfam family "Bacterial small subunit ribosomal RNA", at positions 328 to 539 of the family's 1533-position model. The record is from RNAcentral.
ACGCUCGACACCUACGGGAGACAGCAGUGGGGAAUAUUGCACAAUGGGGGAAACCCUGAUGCAGCAACGCCGCGUGAAGGAAGACGGUUUUCGGAUUGUAAACUUCUGUUCUUAGUGAAGAUAGUGACGGUAGCUAAGGAGCAAGCCACGGCUAACUACGUGCCAGUAGCCGCGGUAAUCUGAGCGGGCUGGCAAGGC